Molecule: long non-coding RNA, 1329 nt
Filed under: Sus scrofa (pig)
Lineage: Eukaryota; Metazoa; Chordata; Mammalia; Artiodactyla; Suidae
Description: lncRNA (ENSSSCG00015041218.1)
Source: RNAcentral
CCGGCGUUGCCGAGAGCUGUGGUGUAGGUUGCAGACGCGGCUCGGAUCCCGCGUUGCUGUGGCUCUGGCAUAGGCCAGUGGCUACAGCUCUGAUUCAACCCCUAGCCUGGGAACCUCCAUAUGCCGCGGGAGCGACCCAAGAAAUAGCAAAAACAAACAAACAAACAAACAAAAAAACCCAAAAAAACAGGGGAUGUCGGGUCCAGACUGGUUGCUUCUGAGUUCAGACACUCCAUUGCCGUGAGGUGUGGGGCAGACAGUCAAGCGGAGCUGAACAUAGUAAAAGAUGAUGUUCAGUGUCUUACAAGCUGCUUUUCCCCUGAGGUUAAACUUGUGGUUUAGGGCUAAAGGGGGCUGAGGGAAGCUAGGACCCAGGGAAUUUUGCCUGGUUCCACAUUUACUGCUAGUUUAACUGUGGAGUUACCUUUCCACACCUCAGUCCCCUACGUGGGAAGAUGAUAAUAGUUCCUACGUCGUAGGAUUGUUGGGGGCAGCAAAUGAAAUAAUACACUUGCAUCACACUAGAAACACAAGUUAGUGAUUCAUAAUUCUUAGGUGCCAUUACAGGGGUGCUGUCUAGCAGUUAAGGCUGCAGGCUUAGAGUUCCCAUUGUGGCCCAGUGUUAACGAGCCAAAAUAGUAUCCAUGAGGACGCAGGUUCAAUCCCUGGUCUCACUCAGUGGGUUAAGGAUCUGGUAUUGCCAUGAGCUGUGGUGUACGUCACAGACGCGGCUUAGAUCCUGUGUUGCCGUGGCUGUGCUCUAAUUAGAGCCCUAGCCUGGGAACUUCCAUAUGCCUUAGGUGUGGCCCUAAAGGAUUAAAAAAAAAAAAAAAAAAAAAAAAAGAUGCAGUCUCGGAAGCUGACAACAUGAGGACAUGAGCCCAGAGAGGUCAAAUGACUUUCCAGGUCACACAGCUGGUGAAGACAAUACUGGUGGAUUCCCCAGGGAAAAGAAACCCUUCAGACGAGCAAACACGAUUUAUGGAGGGGAUGGAACAGCGCAUCUCACAGAGACCUAAGAAGAGACGGGCCGUCUGGAAAAUGAGGUGGGCAGCAGAUGGAAAUGGUUUCCAUUGUCUUUCCAAGGAGCCAGGGGGUCUCCGAUCUGCCACUGUUUCUGCUACUUCCCCUCUUAGGGGGGAUAGUCCUUAUUUUGAAUUCUUCAUGGCUUUGGCUUGUAUCGGCUGUGCCCUGAUGUUUUAGAACCGAAUAUUCUUUCAAGUAGCAUCUUCUUUCUCCACUGAACCUCUUGUCUCAAUCCCAGAUUCCUGAGGUUGGCACAGCCUCAGUCCCACGUGUAUCUCUGGUCCAGUUGGCAGCAGCUUGGAG